Molecule: unclassified non-coding RNA, 406 nt
Filed under: Hevea brasiliensis (rubber tree)
Lineage: Eukaryota; Viridiplantae; Streptophyta; Magnoliopsida; Malpighiales; Euphorbiaceae
Source: RNAcentral
UGAUUCGAUGCUCUGUCCCCGAGUAACGUAGAUCAAAUGUCAGGAAAUGGCUUGAAGAAAUUGAUUCCAGGCAGGGCAAUAGCAAGAUACAAGUAUAAUUAGUGACAAUAUGAGGAGGGAAUUGCAGUUGUGGAAGCAUUAAGGAGAGAAAAUAUCUUCCCCACAGAUACAUUUCCAGACUUGAGGAUAGUAAUCAUUCUCUUUCAACUCCAUUGCAGGGACAGAUACUUGAACAGGUUUGCAGGGCUUGCAUUGGUUGCACUUUGAAUGGCAUUUAGCAGGAAAUGAACCUUUCAUUGCCUUUCCAGGGCCACCUCUUCCCUUAGAUAGAUUCAGGUCUCUGGCCAUUGGCUCACCACCCACCUGGAAAAAUUAAAAUCAGGAAAAGAAAAAGAUGUAUGCUAGG